AGCCUUUUCAAAAUACUAAAAAAGUAUCUUUAAAAGAAAAUAAAGAAAAGAAAUUAACUCUGAAAGCGAUCCCGUGAACUUUGAUGUGACGUACAUUUUAUCAAUCUAUAUGGCUAUAUGAUAGUUCAACAAUUGUUGGUGAUAGGGCUCAAUGCGAGAUGGACGUUCCUACCGCCUUUAUUCUAUAUUCACACCCUGCCUGUAUCCUAUAUCCAC
This 216-nucleotide long non-coding RNA is filed under the name Mytilus galloprovincialis (Mediterranean mussel). Lineage: Eukaryota; Metazoa; Mollusca; Bivalvia; Mytilida; Mytilidae. The record is from RNAcentral.